GGGGUGAUGGCCUACCAAGGCGACGACGGGUAGCCGGCCUGAGAGGGCGACCGGCCACACUGGGACUGAGACACGGCCCAGACUCCUACGGGAGGCAGCAGUGGGGAAUAUUGCACAAUGGGCGCAAGCCUGAUGCAGCGACGCCGCGUGAGGGAUGACGGCCUUCGGGUUGUAAACCUCUUUCAGCUCCGACGAAGCGCAAGUGACGGUAGGAGCAGAAGAAGCGCCGGCCAACUACGUGCCAGCAGCCGCGGUAAGACGUAGGGCGCGAGCGUUGUCCGGAUUUAUUGGGCGUAAAGAGCUCGUAGGCGGCUUGUUGCGUCGGCUGUGAAAACCCAUGGCUCAACCGUGGGCUUGCAGCCGAUACGGGCAGGCUAGAGUUCGGUAGGGGAGACUGGAAUUCCUGGUGUAGCGGUGAAAUGCGCAGAUAUCAGGAGGAACACCGGUGGCGAAGGCGGGUCUCUGGGCCGAUACUGACGCUGAGGAGCGAAAGCGUGGGGAGCGAACAGGAUUAGAUACCCUGGUAGUCCACGCUGUAAACGUUGGGCGCUAGGUGUGGGGGACCUCUCCGGUUCUCUGUGCCGCAGCUAACGUAUUAAGCGCCCCGCCUGGGGAG
RNAcentral lists this ribosomal RNA (616 nucleotides) under uncultured bacterium. RNAcentral describes it as "bacterial SSU rRNA". It matches the Rfam family "Bacterial small subunit ribosomal RNA", at positions 254 to 880 of the family's 1533-position model. The record is from RNAcentral.